This 350-nucleotide non-coding RNA is filed under the name Pongo abelii (Sumatran orangutan). Lineage: Eukaryota; Metazoa; Chordata; Mammalia; Primates; Hominidae. The record is from RNAcentral.
AAGUGCGGCCAGACCGAGGCUGGAGAAAGAGCGCAGCCAGAGAGGGAAAGGCAGCCAGGCUGCAGGAUAGUGAUGCACAUUUGGCCCUGCUGCACAUUUGGACAGGAUGAACUUGGCCCACAUUUUGUAGAAUCUGCAAAAGCCCCGGGUUCUCUCAAAAUGUCACAGUGGUAGCUUGGAGCCCCUGGACUCCCCCAAUUCCUCCUUCGGCAUUCACCCUCCUCCAGGGGGCUCCCCAUAAUUGGCCUGAAUGGUGCCCUUCCCAUUCCCCCAAAGUGCCCCUCCCAUAACUCCUCAAAGUUCAGGAUACACCAGGCGCUGUGAGUCACAAUAAAGUCUGCCUUUAUUGA